GAGUGAAAUAGAACCUGAAACCGUGUGCUUACAAGUAGUCAGAGCCCGUUAAUGGGUGAUGGCGUGCCUUUUGUAGAAUGAACCGGCGAGUUACGAUUUGAUGCAAGGUUAAGCAGUAAAUGUGGAGCCGUAGCGAAAGCGAGUCUGAAUAGGGCGUUUAGUAUUUGGUCGUAGACCCGAAACCAGGUGAUCUACCCUUGGUCAGGUUGAAGUUCAGGUAACACUGAAUGGAGGACCGAACCGACUUACGUUGAAAAGUGAGCGGAUGAACUGAGGGUAGCGGAGAAAUUCCAAUCGAACCUGGAGAUAGCUGGUUCUCUCCGAAAUAGCUUUAGGGCUAGCCUCAAGUGAUGAUUAUUGGAGGUAGAGCACUGUUUGGACGAGGGGCCCCUCUCGGGUUACCGAAUUCAGACAAACUCCGAAUGCCAAUUAAUUUAACUUGGGAGUCAGAACAUGGGUGAUAAGGUCCGUGUUCGAAAGGGAAACAGCCCAGACCACCAGCUAAGGUCCCAAAAUAUAUGUUAAGUGGAAAAGGAUGUGGCGUUGCCCAGACAACUAGGAUGUUGGCUUAGAAGCAGCCAUCAUUUAAAGAGUGCGUAAUAGCUCACUAGUCGAGUGACACUGCGCCGAAAAUGUACCGGGGCUAAACAUAUUACCGAAGCUGUGGAUUGUCCUUUGGACAAUGGUAGGAGAGCGUUCUAAGGGCGUUGAAGCAUGAUCGUAAGGACAUGUGGAGCGCUUAGAAGUGAGAAUGCCGGUGUGAGUAGCGAAAGACGGGUGAGAAUCCCGUCCACCGAUUGACUAAGGUUUCCAGAGGAAGGCUCGUCCGCUCUGGGUUAGUCGGGUCCUAAGCUGAGGCCGACAGGCGUAGGCGAUGGAUAACAGGUUGAUAUUCCUGUACCACCUAUAAUCGUUUUAAUCGAUGGGGGGACGCAGUAGGAUAGGCGAAGCGUGCGAUUGGAUUGCACGUCUAAGCAGUAAGGCUGAGUAUUAGGCAAAUCCGGUACUCGUUAAGGCUGAGCUGUGAUGGGGAGAAGACAUUGNGUCUUCGAGUCGUUGAUUUCACACUGCCGAGAAAAGCCUCUAGAUAGAAAAUAGGUGCCCGUACCGCAAACCGACACAGGUAGUCAAGAUGAGAAUUCUAAGGUGAGCGAGCGAACUCUCGUUAAGGAACUCGGCAAAAUGACCCCGUAACUUCGGGAGAAGGGGUGCUCUUUAGGGUUAACGCCCAGAAGAGCCGCAGUGAAUAGGCCCAAGCGACUGUUUAUCAAAAACACAGGUCUCUGCUAAACCGUAAGGUGAUGUAUAGGGGCUGACGCCUGCCCGGUGCUGGAAGGUUAAGAGGAGUGGUUAGCUUCUGCGAAGCUACGAAUCGAAGCCCCAGUAAACGGCGGCCGUAACUAUAACGGUCCUAAGGUAGCGAAAUUCCUUGUCGGGUAAGUUCCGACCCGCACGAAAGGCGUAACGAUUUGGGCACUGUCUCAACGAGAGACUCGGUGAAAUCAUAGUACCUGUGAAGAUGCAGGUUACCCGCGACAGGACGGAAAGACCCCGUGGAGCUUUACUGUAGCCUGAUAUUGAAAUUCGGCACAGCUUGUACAGGAUAGGUAGGAGCCUUUGAAACGUGAGCGCUAGCUUACGUGGAGGCGCUGGUGGGAUACUACCCUAGCUGUGUUGGCUUUCUAACCCGCACCACUUAUCGUGGUGGGAGACAGUGUCAGGCGGGCAGUUUGACUGGGGCGGUCGCCUCCUAAAAGGUAACGGAGGCGCUCAAAGGUUCCCUCAGAAUGGUUGGAAAUCAUUCAUAGAGUGUAAAGGCAUAAGGGAGCUUGACUGCGAGACCUACAAGUCGAGCAGGGUCGAAAGACGGACUUAGUGAUCCGGUGGUUCCGCAUGGAAGGGCCAUCGCUCAACGGAUAAAAGCUACCCCGGGGAUAACAGGCUUAUCUCCCCCAAGAGUUCACAUCGACGGGGAGGUUUGGCACCUCGAUGUCGGCUCAUCGCAUCCUGGGGCUGUAGUCGGUCCCAAGGGUUGGGCUGUUCGCCCAUUAAAGCGGUACGCGAGCUGGGUUCAGAACGUCGUGAGACAGUUCGGUCCCUAUCCGUCGUGGGCGUAGGAAAUUUGAGAGGAGCUGUCCUUAGUACGAGAGGACCGGGAUGGACAUACCUCUGGUGUACCAGUUGUCGUGCCAACGGCAUAGCUGGGUAGCUAUGUGUGGACGGGAUAAGUGCUGAAAGCAUCUAAGCAUGAAGCCCCCCUCAAGAUGAGAUUUCCCAACUUCGGUUAUAAGAUCCCUCAAAGAUGAUGAGGUUAAUAGGUUCGAGGUGGAAGCAUGGUGACAUGUGGAGCUGACGAAUACUAAUCGAUCGAAGACUUAAUCAA
This 2383-nucleotide ribosomal RNA is filed under the name Staphylococcus aureus. RNAcentral describes it as "23S ribosomal RNA". It matches the Rfam family "Bacterial large subunit ribosomal RNA", at positions 536 to 2925 of the family's 2925-position model. The record is from RNAcentral. Lineage: Bacteria; Bacillati; Bacillota; Bacilli; Caryophanales; Staphylococcaceae.